This 87-nucleotide transfer RNA is filed under the name Candidatus Thiodiazotropha sp. Its description in RNAcentral is "tRNA-Leu". It matches the Rfam family "tRNA". From Rfam's summary of the family: Transfer RNA (tRNA) molecules are approximately 80 nucleotides in length. The record is from RNAcentral. Lineage: Bacteria; Pseudomonadati; Pseudomonadota; Gammaproteobacteria; Chromatiales; Sedimenticolaceae. RNAcentral also lists the same sequence under 13 other names.
GCCGGGGUGGCGGAAUUGGUAGACGCAGUGGAUUCAAAAUCCACCGGUAGCAAUAUCAUGCGGGUUCAAGUCCCGCCCCCGGUACCA